CCUACGGGUGACAGCAGUAGGGAAUAUUGCUCAAUGGGGGAAACCCUGAAGCAGCAACGCCGCGUGGAGGAUGAAGGUUUUCGGAUUGUAAACUCCUUUUGUUAGAGAAGAUAAUGACGGUAUGUAACGGAUAAGCAACGGACAACACCGUGCCAGCAGCCGCGGUCAUACGGAGGGUGCAAACCUUACUCGGAAUCACUGGGCGUAAAGUGAGCGUAGGCGGGAUAGCUAGGUAGAUGGGAAAUCCUAUGGCUUAACCAUUGACCUGCAUUGGAAACUGGUAUUCUAGAGUAUGGGAGAGGUAGGUGGAAUUCUAUGUGUAGCGGUAAAAUCCGUAGAGAUCUAGAAGAAUACUCAAUGCGAAGGCGACCUGCUAGAACAUAACUGACGCUGAUGCGCGAAAGCGUGGGGAGCAAACAGGAUUAGAUACCCCAGUAGUC
This 440-nucleotide ribosomal RNA is filed under the name uncultured bacterium. Its description in RNAcentral is "partial 16S ribosomal RNA". It matches the Rfam family "Bacterial small subunit ribosomal RNA", at positions 338 to 795 of the family's 1533-position model. The record is from RNAcentral.